RNAcentral lists this ribosomal RNA (376 nucleotides) under uncultured bacterium. RNAcentral's name for it is "bacterial SSU rRNA". It matches the Rfam family "Bacterial small subunit ribosomal RNA", at positions 523 to 898 of the family's 1533-position model. The record is from RNAcentral.
AGACGUAGGGGGCGAGCGUUGUCCGGAAUUAUUGGGCGUAAAGGGCGUGUAGGCGGUUAUUUAAGUCAGACGUGAAAGGUGGCGGCUCAACUGCCACAUUGCGUAUGAAACUGGGUAACUUGAGUGCAGCAGAGGGAAGUGGAAUUCCUAGUGUAGCGGUGAAAUGCGUAGAUAUUAGGAAGAACACCAGUGGCGAAGGCGGCUUUCUGGGCUGCAACUGACGCUGAGGCGCGAAAGCUGGGGGAGCGAACGGGAUUAGAUACCCCGGUAGUCCCAGCCGUAAACGAUGGACACUAGGUGUAGGAGGAACGACCCCUUCUGUGCCGCAGCAAACGCAAUAAGUGUCCCGCCUGGGGAAUACGGCCGCAAGGCUGAA